RNAcentral lists this long non-coding RNA (218 nucleotides) under Brassica rapa (field mustard). RNAcentral's name for it is "long non-coding RNA (BRAP_LNC006839)". The record is from RNAcentral. Lineage: Eukaryota; Viridiplantae; Streptophyta; Magnoliopsida; Brassicales; Brassicaceae.
UUAGGUUAGUUUUGCAUUUGAUUCAAGUUUGGGUAUAGGUUUGGCAUUAAAAUCAAGUUAUGGGUUAGUUUUGGCAAAAACCCCAAAAUUUUAUUUAUUGUAGUGCGGGAAUUUGCGCAUGAUGAGAUUGCCAUAAAAAAUAAUAUAAACAAAGUACAUAAUUGUACACAGUCUGCAAAAUAGAUAUACAUAAUUGUAUUAUGAAUAUUAUAGUUAUU